Molecule: unclassified non-coding RNA, 85 nt
Filed under: Partulina proxima
Lineage: Eukaryota; Metazoa; Mollusca; Gastropoda; Stylommatophora; Achatinellidae
Description: partial 5.8S ribosomal RNA
Rfam family: 5.8S ribosomal RNA
About the family: 5.8S ribosomal RNA (5.8S rRNA) is a component of the large subunit of the eukaryotic ribosome.
Source: RNAcentral
AACACAUUGAACAUCGACACCUUGAACGCAAAUGGCGGCCUCGGGUCCAUCCCCGAGGCCACGCCCGUCUGAGGGUCGGCUAGAU